Vigna radiata var. radiata (mung bean) is the source of this 854-nucleotide long non-coding RNA. RefSeq lists it as uncharacterized. The record is from RefSeq and is a predicted model, not a curated record. NCBI's taxonomy places the organism in Eukaryota, Viridiplantae, Streptophyta, Magnoliopsida, Fabales, Fabaceae. The transcript has 3 exons.
GUUUUAUUUUACAAUGUAAAGAAUAUAAAGAAACUUUACUUUUCCCCCUUUCUCCCAAUUUCUCCCGCACUACAACCUAGUUUCAUGGUUCUCGCAUUCUUGGUGUCAUUGAUUAUCAAAAACCUGUUCGAAGUGGGAAUUUUGAAGUGGAAGUGAAAGUGGAGGAAUAUGUAGUACAUGGUUGUGAGGAGGCAAAGAACAAGUGGUCUUGUAGUUUGGGUGAAGGUCAAACUCUUUACCUUCAUUGCUCUAAAGGUCACUGUAUUGCUAAAUUCUAGUGGGUUGAACUGAGGCUUCUAGCAUGGAGGUCAAAGAUCUAGUUGAAUCCUAAAGACAUCUCUGAAAUUGAUUGCUUAUGGUGAUGUUGAUUGACUUGAGUUUCUUAAUAUAGUCGACAGUCUAUCACUUGGUUAAUGCUUAUUCCUUGGCUUCUUCUUGAUCUCAAGAAAUAUUAAGAAGCAAGCAUCAAUUUAUAAAUGCUAUCGAACUAAAAAUAAAAAUAGAUGUCUUUUUUAUGGUCAGGAAAAUCUAGACAAUAGUUAAAAAAUCGUUGUCUAAUCUUUAUGCCAUAAUUUUUAUAGUUUUGACCGCCAUUUAUUUGCUGUGAAUGAAACCGUGAUGAAGCAUAUCUUCUCAACAAAAAGAAUUCAGCAAAAACAUGAAUGUCACAAAACACCGUGUGGAAGUCACAAGAAUUGUAGGAAAACAAAACCAUAAUGCAAACAUACAUAGAUUUAAGAAGUGAGGAAAGGGUGACAUAUAUCCAAAUUGUAACGACAAUGAAUGAAUUGUUAUAUUAUUAAUGUGAGGUGAUGAAGAGGUAGAUAAAAGGCAUGAGAAGUAGGAAAUGUAGA